AUUUUUAUAGCUUAAGUAGAGCGUUGGUUUGUAAAACCAAAGGUAGUAGUACUU
This 54-nucleotide transfer RNA is filed under the name Monacha cartusiana. RNAcentral's name for it is "tRNA-Tyr". The record is from RNAcentral. Lineage: Eukaryota; Metazoa; Mollusca; Gastropoda; Stylommatophora; Hygromiidae.